GUUGAAAGGGUGACGUGGUGGGUCCAAUGAAAUGAAUCCAACAUUUUCUCCGAACUUUCUCGUCCUCCAAAAAGAAUCGAACGGUGUAGAAUUUAUGAGAUGAGAUCCAUAAGACAUUGAUUUGACUUAUUUCUUAUGUGAAAGGUGGAAGGUGGAGAAGAGUGAGAGACAAAGAUUGAAUAGAAAUCAAAUAGGGAAUUUAUUAGGCUUUUGCAAAUCUAAAGAAAAGAGAAGAGAAGAGAAGAGAUGGCAGGAAUGUUCAAGUUCCUGAGUCCUAGGGCUCCUCCCCAGCCGAUUGACAUCCAAGCCGCCGCCUUGUGGGGCGUCGCUGCCGUUACCACCGCUCUUUGGAUCGUCCAGCCGUUUGAUUGGUUGAAGAAGACCUUUUUGGAGAAACCAGCGCCCGAAGAGAAGUGAACAAAGAUGUCAAAAUUCUGGUAGAACUUUCUAAUAGUCUUAUGAUGGGUUGAUGAGGAGAGAAUAGGGGAAGUUGAAUAUAUUUGAUCUGAAUAAUGUAAUUUGACUUUCUAGUCCAAUGUUGGUUUCAUAUUGAGGUUUUUCUUUCCCUUGAUUCUUGCAAAUCAUAUGAUAAAUUCUGGCUCAUAAAUUUAACAUUGUUCUCUCUCUCAUUUUUA
Long non-coding RNA from Quercus lobata, 635 nucleotides. RefSeq lists it as uncharacterized. The transcript is spliced from 2 exons. Lineage: Eukaryota; Viridiplantae; Streptophyta; Magnoliopsida; Fagales; Fagaceae. The record is from RefSeq and is a predicted model, not a curated record.